Vigna angularis (adzuki bean) is the source of this 4589-nucleotide long non-coding RNA. RefSeq lists it as uncharacterized. Lineage: Eukaryota; Viridiplantae; Streptophyta; Magnoliopsida; Fabales; Fabaceae. The transcript has 2 exons. The record is from RefSeq and is a predicted model, not a curated record.
ACAUUCCUACGCUGUAGUUAACUGCAUUUAGAAGUUCCUCUUUUAGUGCUGGAUAAUAGCAUGAUUUAUGCACAAAGUUGUUUGUUUGUUUUUGUCGAACACCAUCAAAUAUAGUUAGCUUCUACUUCUUGAUUUGAUAUGAAACUGUACAUCAGUAUGUGAAAACUAUGUAUUGGAUUUUCUGGUUGUUUUAUCUGAAUCUAUACAUUACAGCCAAGUAAUAACCAAUAGUUAUCUGAAUCUGGAAGAGAAGGAACCGUGACCCCUUCCAGGCCUCAAGGCCGUCAGCCCUCUACUGGAACUCUCCUACACUACUCAGACUCCCUGCAACGUAAACUACUCUAUGGGACUUCUCUUGGAAGAGAGACUCCUCUCCCAGGCCAUCACCCCCUCUCUCCUGGAACACCCCUCUUUCACGGCCUCUACUUUUUAAAUACCAUCCACUCCUUCUUUUCCACUUGAAGCCAAAUCAUGGUAGUGCGAUUUGCCCAUACAGCUGCUGUUGUCUGUGUGUGGGACGUGCUGCUCCCCUUCUUUUCCCUACACCAUGCUUCAAUAUUUUAAAAGCAAGAAAGUGGUGCUGCCCAAGUUUUGUCUCCUAGCACUUUUACUCCAAUGCACCUCCUGGACGUACCAAAACUAAGCAAGGGACUCUCCAUUUUCAUCCUUCCCUCUGCACACGCCUCUCCGCUGAUCACGUGAACACCAACUCUGGACGUGUAUCUUGAAUGUUGCUGCUUGACGCUUGAAGUGUAGCAGGGAGCAGCUGCUGGAUCCAUCAUCAAACGCCGUGCACCUCUCCUUCUCUAUCCACAUAACCGUGCACAACAAUGUUUCCAAAACUUCCAAAGUACUUCAGCGUGUCUGCUUCAAUUCUUUUUCUUGCUUCUUCUUUUGUGUGUGCAUGCUGGAAUGCCCAAACUGCUUCGUCCAUCUUCUUCUUCCAGCAGCCAACUUCACUUUCGUUUCCAACAUCACGGGAGUUUCAUGUGCCAAGCUUUUCACCGUGCUUCCUUCUCCAUUCCAGCCAGCUACUGAAUCAGUUACAGCAGUAUCUUGGAGCUCUCUCUUCACGGCCUUGCUGCAGGUGGCUGCCUCCAUCCGUUUGUGUUUUUCUUCAUCACCGUGCAACUUUCCUGCUGGACCGAGGCUGCUAUUGGGUGUUGCUGCCAAUUCUGGACGGUGUGCGGGCCUCUCAAGCAUGCCGUAAUACCUCUUCUCAUUUGCGAACGUGGAAGUGCAGCCCCUUCACAAGUGCACCACCAAAAUUAAUUCCUUUGUGGGUCAUAUAAUAUUUGGACUUGUAUAAGUACCGUGAGCUCUUCCCUUCACGUGACCCCUCAUCUUUAUGAGAAUAUUAUUCCCUUUUCUAGUGGAGAUCCCCACUUUUAUUCCAUUUGUUUGCUGCAAUUUAAUGGCCAAUUGGAAAUCACGUUCCAAGCCAACAAGGGUGCGGCUCCCACUUCCAAAGAGAAAGAAGAUUCCCCAUUUUUGUUUACUGGUUGCCGUGCUUGGUUCAUUCACGUGGUCCCCUCCAUUAUGCUUCACGGCCACAUUCAUUUCUCAUAAGCCAAAUAAACAUUCUUCAAUCCUAGGUGGCACUCCCAUUUUUGUUCCAUGCUGGAUACUUGCCAAAAUGAAUUGUAAUUGGAUGUGCGUGACUUUUCAGCAAAUAUUGGACCUUACUUCAAUUCAAAUGUGUCGUGAGUUGUCUCCCCCAUUAUAAAAUUCACACUUCAUUCUUCAAUAAAUUCUCUAAAACAUGAGCUUCAAUUGCUUUGCCAAAAUGAAUUUUCCAAUGGGUAAUAGCUAUUAUGGCCGUGAGGUGUAACACUACAAGAAAUGUGUUAUUUACCGAAGGACUAAUACCGAAGGUCACUUGAGUCGCCGGUAAAGAUGAAUUACCGAAGGCUUUACCGAAGGUCAAUGAAAAUGGUUAUUAUGGACGACCUAUGCCCGUCGAUAAUGGGCAACUAAUUUACCGAAGGUGUUUGGCCAUCGGUAUAGGCAUGGACAUAUUGAAAUCAGGAAUUGGGAUUUCCCUCUUCCAUUUUCCCAAAAUCCGUAUUCGCGAAAGCAACCUGCCCUCCAUUUGAGUUCACUCCCCUCUCCCCCAUGUAAUCUCUGUCUCCUUCUCUCGUUCAGAGUUUGAAAGCACCAUUGAACCCCACUUGUGUAUUACGGUUCCGCCAUCGCCAUUGGACGUUCUCGAGCUCCUCUCCAUUCUCCAAAAGUGUGUGGGGUUGAAGGACGAAGGCAUUGAUGUGACGGCUUCCAUUGUGGACGGUGCUUCUCUUAGGGUUUGUUCACGACGGUCCUUUGGCGGCGUGAGGAGGUGUUGUCGCUGCGUCAGGGGUGAUGUCGUGACGUGAAGAGGUUGGGGGAAGAAAGUGUUAGUGAUCUGGGGUUUGGUUUGGUUUGAUUUGAUUUAAGCGGUUACCUGUUCAAGCUUCUGCUUAUCGGCGACUCUUCCGUCAGCAAUUCAUGCUUGCUUCUCUAAUUCGCUGUCGGUCUCUCAUCACUUCACCGUAUUUCCCCUUCUCUUUCGCUUUCUCUCAUCUUUUCAUUUCCUUUCCUUGCAGGAUAACUCGUAUGUGGACAGCUACAUAAGUACCAUUGGAGUUGCUUUCGUAAUCAUCACUUCUCUUCUUUUAUUUUCUGACUCUUUCUCUUUGUCUUUCUAUUUAUGCACCAUCUUCGUGUUGUUCUUCUCUUGCUUGGGCUGAGCAUUGUGUUCGUCGUCGAGGCAUCGUGGUGUUCUGGCGUGUUCUCCCUGGGAAAUUAAACUAUAGAUUCGUUCAUGCGGCUUAGAAUCCUGGCGAGAAAUCUUUCCGAUUUGUUUGUCUCCUAUAUCUUAUUCUCGAAAUUUUAAUUUUGCUUUCCUCCUUCUUCCAUCUGCUGCUGUUUACUACUUUCAUAUUUGUUUGGUCUCUUUAAAAGUGUGUGUUAUUUACUUGUAUAAUUUUACCUACCUCAACCACAUGCCUUUCCUGCCUUGGCUUUCCCUUGGAACCCCACCCUCCCUCGCGCGCUUCUCUUAGAGAUUGGGAGACCAUCAAAUCCAACGAUUCCUUGCUUGGACUCAUGUGCAGACAGUUGGAAUGGCAGUGGCGAGGGAUGCGAAGGAAGGAGAGGAAUCCGAUGGUCUGAGAGGCGUUCUACUUUUUCGAGGAACAAAUCCUCCAAGACACGAAAAGCGCCAUAGAAGAAAACGGAGGCGAUGCCAAAGUUGUUCUGAUUUAGGGUUUAUCUUCUCGCACAAUCCAAAGUUGCGCUCACCACCACUGGUUUAAAAAGCCUGCCAAGAUAAAAGAGAGUAAGCUUUCUUAAGAGCACGGUGACAGUAAUUUCUGGUCCAUGAAACAUUUCCCAUAACUAAAAUAUUGAUGGAAGCUGUUCUGGACUUUUUUUAAUUCAAGUAAAAUUGUCUUGCUAUUUGGGAAACUUAGAAACUAGGCAUGUUGCUAUAUAGUAGAACAAUGGUUGAAAUUUAUGAGAACUUGUCACAUACAAGGGCUUUUUCUUAUCUCUAGAUUUUACUUCAUUGCUGAAAUUGUUGGAAACUGUAACUGAAUGACGUUGUAUAGGUGGCAAGUCUUCUGUCCUACUCGAUGUCAAGCCUUGGGAUGAUGAGACCGACAUGAAGAAGCUGGGAGAGGUUGUCCGCAAUAUUGAGAUGCCUGGUUUAUUGUGGAGCACUUAUGUUCAAAGUUUCAUAAACUUUUCUCCCUCAAAGUUUCAUAAACUUUUCUCUCAUUCAUUCUCAAAAUUAACUAUCCUUUUGCUACUUUCUUUACUUUUUUCCUAUAAAUUUGUCAAACUCUGCAUAACCAGAAGAAGGUCAGAACAUAGAACUUCACCUAUUUUCUGGUUUAAUAUGUACUGCAUUUGGAUUUGCCUUCAAAGUUUUCAUUUUCCAACAAAGUGUUGUCAUGCCUUUUAUACUUUGAGAAUGUGUAUUCAGAAUUUUCAAACAUGUCAAGUUCUAACUUAUAUUUUAGUGUAACUGUUACUCAGACACAAGACUAUUCAACUUUUAUAUAAACUUUAUGCUGAUUUUACUGUUUUUGAGCUCACAAGAAAUUAGUUUUGUGUGGUUUUCCAUGUGCUAAUGCAAGUUCAAUUUGCUAUUCGCAAGUUGAUGUUGGUCUUUCCUUGAUUAUGAAUUGCAAGUUAGGAAGUAUGUUGAGAAGAUUGGUUUGUGUUUACAUGACAGAGAAAAGAGGAUUCUGCAGUGCAAAGAGAAGCAUUGGGCGGAUGCAAACAAUCUUUUAUUAUUAUUAUUGUUGUUUUGUUAUUAUUAUUAUUAUUUUUGGUUGAAUGUAGGGUAUCAUUUAGCGAAGAGUCAACAACUAAUUCUUUGAGAUUUGCUGAGAUUUCGUCCAAUGAUGAUUCUGGUGAAAACAGCCCUGACAUUUCUGAUCACGAAGAGAAAGUAGAAGAAGUUGAUACUGUUACCUGUGUUUUUUUUUAUAUACCAGUGCACACAUUUUCUCUGCAUUGUUUGGCAUGUUUUACGUGAUUCAUCCUAGGUCUUUUCUAAGGAUGCUAUAUACUCUUGCAGUAAAAGUUGUUUUUAGAGGCUUUAA